GAAGUCGCCGGCAUCACAGCUGAACUCUGAAUAUUCAUCCACCCCCCGCCCACAGGCCCAUAAAAAAACUCGUCGGCGUCGGCGGCCUCACAUCAAACCGCGCUCAAUCUCAAUCUCACCGUGGACUCGCCGCCAAACACGAACUGGCAGGCGGCAGGUGCCCAGCCACGCUAGCCAGAUCCUCCUGCAAAGAACAGAAAUCCCCCGGUUAUUUCCCACUCCGCUCCACUCGUCCGAACCACGCCGCGCUAGCCAGCUGCAUCUUCAGCCGGCAUGGCCCGCCUCGGCCUCCGGCGCUUUCCGCCGCUGAUGCUCCUCCUCCUACUCCUCUUCACCCUCGUCGUCGCGGAGGUGGCGGCGGGGAAGGGGAAGAAGAGGGGCGACGGCGGCGGCGGGCUGCGGUUCCGGCGGGAGGGCGGCACGUUCAAGGUGCUGCAGGUGGCGGACAUGCACUACGCGGACGGGCGGAGCACCGGGUGCGAGGACGUGCUGCCCGAGCAGGUCGCCGGCUGCUCCGACCUCAACACCACCGCCUUCCUCUACCGCGUCAUCCGCGCCGAGGACCCCGACCUCGUCGUCUUCACAGGUCCGACCCCCACCCACCCAUCCUCCUCCUCUUCCCCUGCUGUCUGUUAAUACAACUUCGAUUAAGAAAUCCGAAGCAGAAGCUGCACUGAAAUUGGGUCGGGGAAAUUGAAAUUCUGACCAUGCCCAAUCGCUCAUCCGGUGAAAUGGUCUGAUUGAUUGGUCUGUCCAUCCAGGACGGAGAUGAAAUGGUCUGCGUCCACAUGGAGCUAAAACCCAACUAGGAAAGAUACAAAUGUAGCUGCCUUUGUGAUUAUCUUCAGGUUACUGCCCUGUUUUCAUGGUGAUGUUUCCAAGGCUGCAAUUUUGGCAACCGGCGUCUUAUUUCAAUUAUGGUAAAAAAGCCGAUCAGGCGAACACAACACGCAUCACACUCCUAGCGGAUUGUGUUGCUGUUAGAAAAAGGGUUGUGAUGGUGGGUGGUUGUGCAUAGAUAAGUUUGCUUUCAAUCAAAGCAGGGCCGUCAAAAGACUUUAUUCUAAAAGAAUUGUGCAUAGAUGAUUUCUUUGGCAGGCGAUAACAUUUUUGGCGCGGAUUCAACCGACGCGGCCAAGUCGAUGGACGCGGCCAUCGCUCCGGCCAUCACCAUGAACCUUCGCUGGGCUGCUGUGCUCGGUAACCAUGACCAGGAGGGCACCCUGUCGCGGGAGGGUGUGAUGCGCCACCUUGUAGGCAUGAAGAACACCCUGUCACGCUUCAACCCUGAAGGAGUAGAGAUCGACGGCUUCGGAAAUUAUAACCUCGAAGUUGGUGGGGUUGAAGGAACACUGCUGGCUAACAAAUCAGUGCUCAACCUUUAUUUUCUCGACAGUGGUGACCGUUCUACUGUAUGGUGGAUCCCUGGUUAUGGUUGGAUCAAGGCUUCACAGCAAGCUUGGUUCAAGCAAACCUCUUUGAGUCUGCAGAAAAACUACAGGAAUGAAGAACCUAGACAGAAGGAGCCGGCACCUGCUCUUGCAUACUUCCACAUUCCAUUGCCGGAGUUCAGCAGUUUCACAGCAUCCGAUUUCACAGGAGUGAAGCAGGAGAGUAUCAGCUCGCCAUCAAUCAACUCCGGUUUCUUUACCACGAUGGUGGAAGCCGGAGAUGUGAAGGCUGCCUUCAUAGGACAUGAUCACAUAAAUGACUUCUGCGGGAAGCUCACCGGUAUUCAGCUCUGCUAUGCCGGUGGCUUGGGUUACCACGCGUAUGGGAAGGCCGGGUGGUCGAGGAGAGCAAGAGUGGUGUCUGUGCAGCUUGAGAAGACAGUGAGCGGCGAGUGGCAAGGCGUGAAAUCUAUCAAGACAUGGAAGAGGCUUGAUGACCAACAUCUGACCACGAUUGACUCCGAGGUUCUUUGGAACAGAGGCUCUAAUGGUAAGACACUCACACAUGCAUGAGCAUGGUGCUAUGGAACAUAGGCUUGAUAAGAGUACUAGUAUAAGACAGAGUGAACAUGAUAAUAACAUGGUCCACUCUCUUGUGGUAUUACUCCCUCCGUUCCUAAAUAUAAGUCUUUUCAGAGAUUUCAAUACAGACUACAUACAGAGCAAAAUCAGUGAAUCUACACCCUAAAAUAUGUCUAUAUACAUCCGAAUGUAGUCUGUAUUGAAAUCUCUACAGACUUGUAUUUAGAAAUGGAGUAGAUAAUGGUAGUAUGAAAUUACUAUACUGAUCGAAGGGGCGUAUGUUUUCAGAACCACAAGUUAUCUAAGUGUUGCUGAUUGUCAGGGAGGCGCAGGAAGGAUCAUGACAGAAGCUGAGUUCAGGCUUGGGGACAGCGAGUGAGUGAUGCGUCCUACCUCUGCUCAUCAUGUGUGCUGUUGGUGCUUACUGCUUAGCUUAUUACGAAAGUUCGCAACCGUGUAAAUGAAAACAGAUGGUGCGCCUCAUGUAUACGCAGGUUCGUAGCAUUGUAAUUGUUCGCAUAGAGAAAGAAAAAGGUGAACCAUUAUUUGAAAAAAAAAUUGAGCGGGUGAACAAUGAUUUGAUGUAGUAUCAAAUGUCACUCUCUGCAAAUGGGCUUGGAUGUCGAAAGAAAAUUUGUGCACUGCGGGCUUAGUAAAUGCAAAUUGAUGCACUACCUCGCAAAAGAAAGAAAAAAUUGAUGCACUGAUGCAUAGAUGAGUUGUAAC
RNAcentral lists this ribosomal RNA (2699 nucleotides) under Triticum aestivum (bread wheat). RNAcentral's name for it is "partial small subunit ribosomal RNA". The record is from RNAcentral. Lineage: Eukaryota; Viridiplantae; Streptophyta; Magnoliopsida; Poales; Poaceae.